Molecule: ribosomal RNA, 253 nt
Filed under: uncultured bacterium
Lineage: Bacteria
Description: partial 16S ribosomal RNA
Rfam family: Bacterial small subunit ribosomal RNA
Source: RNAcentral
UACGUAGGGUGCAGGCGUUAAUCGGAAUUACUGGGCGUAAAGCGUGCGCAGGCGGUUUGCUAAGACAGGUGUGUAAUCCCCGGGCUUAACCUGGGAACUGCGCUUGUAACUGGCAAGCUAGAGUGUGGCAGAGGGGGGUGGAAUUCCACGUGUAGCAGUGAAAUGCGUAGAGAUGUGGAGGAACACCGAUGGCGAAGGCAGCCCCCUGGGCUAACACUGACGCUCAUGCACGAAAGCGUGGGGAGCAAACAGG